This 340-nucleotide long non-coding RNA is filed under the name Brassica napus (rape). RNAcentral's name for it is "long non-coding RNA (BNAP_LNC024658)". Lineage: Eukaryota; Viridiplantae; Streptophyta; Magnoliopsida; Brassicales; Brassicaceae. The record is from RNAcentral.
AUUUCGGGUGAUUACAGCGAAAAAGUAUUUUGUAAAAACGAUUGGAGACGACGAUUUCGGGGAAGACGAUAUCGGAGAAGACAAGACAGAGAGUUAGUUCGAUGAAGACGGAGUAAACACAAUGUCGAUGACGAUUUCAGGGAAGAGGCGGUUAGGGUUUCUUUAGUUCUUCGACGAAGUUUUGCUGUGUUGUUGUGUUUUUUUUUCAACGUUAUGUAAUUAAAGAAAUGAUUGAUUGUUCUCUAUUACUGAUGUGGAUACUUAAUUAGCGAUGUAGAUUUAAUGUUUAAAAAUAAUUUCAAUUAAAAAAACUAACCAAAAGCUCUUAUUGUCAUUUACU